This 70-nucleotide transfer RNA is filed under the name Camelus bactrianus (Bactrian camel). It matches the Rfam family "tRNA". Rfam says of the family: Transfer RNA (tRNA) molecules are approximately 80 nucleotides in length. Their secondary structure includes four short double-helical elements and three loops (D, anti-codon, and T loops). Lineage: Eukaryota; Metazoa; Chordata; Mammalia; Artiodactyla; Camelidae. RNAcentral also lists the same sequence under 3 other names. The record is from Rfam by way of RNAcentral.
GGGUAUAGCUCAGUGGUAGAGUACAUGCUUAGCAUGCACGAGGUCCUGGGUUCAAUCCUCAGUACCUCCA